UUGAAGUGGAAAGGGCCAACAACAUUUGAUUGGUCUGCAAGAGUGCGUCUUGGAGGAGUUCUUUCCGCCAUCUCCUCUGCUCCUCAGAUUGGUGAAGGUGAAAGUAAUCUGUUAGGGGAAGGAAAUAAAUCCCUAGAGGAACGUCUGACUCGCCUUCUUCCCCUUGUCUCGUUCAAGCCUUCAAGAAGAGGUUGUGUACUUUUCUUGCUUCUAGUAUGUCUAGUCUCCUACUGCAUGCACAAGAAACACAAACCCUAGUAGCACUUUUAUAAAAAAAAUAAAAAAAAGUAAAACAAAAAAUAUAUACAAAAUAUUUACAAUCAAGUCAAAGUUAAUCAGUUUACACUACUAAAAAAGUUAAACCACGAGUCCCUGGCAACGACGUCAAAAACUUGUUAAGCCCCUG
RNAcentral lists this long non-coding RNA (406 nucleotides) under Vigna radiata. Its description in RNAcentral is "long non-coding RNA (VRAD_LNC016061)". The record is from RNAcentral. Lineage: Eukaryota; Viridiplantae; Streptophyta; Magnoliopsida; Fabales; Fabaceae.